AACGAACGCUGGCGGCAGGCCUAACACAUGCAAGCCGAACGAAGGCCCGGAGCUUGCUCCGGGUACCUUAGUGGCGGACGGGUGAGUAACACGUGGGAACCUACCUAGCAGUACGGAAUAACUGUGGGAAACCGCAGCUAAUACCGUAUACGCCCCCCUUGGUAACGUUUGGGGGGGAAAGAUUUAUCGCUGUUGGAUGGGCCCGCGGCUGAUUAGCUUGUUGGUAAGGUAAUGGCUUACCAAGGCUACGAUCAGUAGCUGGUCUGAGAGGAUGAUCAGCCACACUGGGACUGAGACACGGCCCAGACUCCUACGGGAGGCAGCAGUGGGGAAUAUUGGACAAUGGGCGCAAGCCUGAUCCAGCCAUGCCGCGUGAGUGAAGAAGGCCCUAGGGUUGUAAAACUCUUUCACCGGGGACGAUGAUGACGGUACCCGGAGAAGAAGCCCCGGCUAACUCCGUGCCAGCAGCCGCGGUAAUACGGAGGGGGCUAGCGUUGUUCGGAAUUACUGGGCGUAAAGCGCGCGUAGGCGGUUUAUCAAGUCAGAUGUGAAAGCCCCGGGCUCAACCCGGGAACUGCAUUUGAUACUGGUUGACUAGAGGCCCGGAGAGGGUAGUGGAAUUCCCAGUGUAGAGGUGAAAUUCGUAGAUAUUGGGAAGAACACCGGUUGCGAA
Molecule: ribosomal RNA, 673 nt
Filed under: alpha proteobacterium Schreyahn_AOB_Aster_Kultur_2
Lineage: Bacteria; Pseudomonadati; Pseudomonadota; Alphaproteobacteria
Description: bacterial SSU rRNA
Rfam family: Bacterial small subunit ribosomal RNA
Source: RNAcentral